Herpailurus yagouaroundi (jaguarundi) is the source of this 4720-nucleotide long non-coding RNA. RefSeq lists it as uncharacterized. The transcript has 3 exons. Lineage: Eukaryota; Metazoa; Chordata; Mammalia; Carnivora; Felidae. The record is from RefSeq and is a predicted model, not a curated record.
UGUGUGUGUGUGUGUGUGUGUGUGUGUGUGUGUGUGUUUUGAAGGCUGGGAGGGUCAGGGAUUCUGUGAACACUUCAGAGUUUUUUGAGGAUGAGCUAAUGGUGUCUUCCGUCUCCUGUCUCCUACACUGGCUUCUGAAUUGCUAUCCCCACCCCAGCCGUCUGCUUUCCUGAGGCUCCACGAACCAUUUCCCCACUUUGCCUAUCCUAUGGUUGGUUGGGGUCAGUCGCUUUUUCACGUCCAUCAAGACAAGGCAGGCUCCCUGAGGAGGUAGGCUUUUUAGGAAGACUUAAAGGGGGUGAGGGACUAUCAUUAGGUAAAGCCCUGAAGAAAGGUACUGAAUGAUGGAUCUUCUAAAUGCAUAUUAAUGCUUAAUUGUUUCUGAUGUUCUUUGGAGAGCCUGAGCCUCUCCUAAUUUUCUUGAUCUCUCAACCCUGAGGAAGAGCUGUACUGUCUGUCACACUGGACCAGGAACUUGACUUCCUGCAUGGCAGUUCUAGAACGAUUCCACUGUCUUCCUAGCUAUGAACAUAGGAUGUGACAGUCCUGGACCUUAGUGAAUAUCACAGUGGUUACAAGAGUCUCUGGGUCCCUCCCCCUGGGCUCUCGCUCUCACUGAGAUCCUUCUGUAGGGGGGCCCAGAUGCAUCCAGAGUUUUUCUCAUGCUGUGUUUGAAACUUGACCAUUUUUUUUUAAUGAUAAAGAAUAAUUUCAAUAAUGUAGAGUUGGUUUCUUAUUAAAUCAAAGGAGAAAGAUUAUCAAGCGUGGUAGGUAUUGUACUUUAAGUUGAUUACAAAAAGCUUUAUUGAGGGUUAACCACUAGGCAAUGGAUAGAAAAUCAAUUACACGGUAGUUAAACAUCCAAUAAUAUGUGUUGUAAUGAACAAUUCAUAUUUAACACCUCUUAUGAAAUAAUGAGCUGUGUUGGAGUUUUGGGGUAGCCAAGCAGCAGUUGGGAUAUGAGAGUAAAAUCUUGAGGAGGCUGACACCAUGUUUUAUCAAGUAGCAUCUCACGGCAUCAUGGUUAUGUGAGGGCUGGUUCACUUCCCAUUCCGGUAUCAUGCUUCCUGACAGCUGACAUGACCACACAGCUUCUAAGAGUCACCAGUCUAGACCGAGACCCAAGACUGCACUGACGUCAGAUUGGUAUGAAAGAACAAGUCGUUAAGUCACUAAGAUGAUGCUGUGCAUCAUGAAAUUAACAUGUCCAGAUUUCCUUAGGUAAUGUGGACAGCCAGAGGGUCCUUUUCUCAUCCUAUCCCAGUCUAUAGAGACCCAUCUCUUCACCGUCUGCCAUAUUGUCUCCCACGUGAUACAUGAAAGCCUGACUCAGAACUCUUUAUAUUUAAAUGGUAUUUGCAUGUAGUGUGUUCAUGAAUAACUCAAUUCAGUUGCUAUUCAUGCUUUUCCUUUUUCACCACACCGCCCAAUCAAAUGUGAUUUCAAGCUAGGAAGGGGCCAUCCAGUCGCAAAACCUGCCAAGCCACCCACAUUUCUGGCUUCACUGAAGGUUGUUCUGUAAUUCCCUGUGUCUCCUUCUGCUCCGGGUUCUAUAAUAUGAAGCUAGUAUUUUCAAAGGAGUUCACAGUUUGUGCCUCCAGAAUCAGACCAUGGUAGAGUCCUUCAGUUGAGCCAAUUCACAGAUAUUUUGCAGAGUUACAGGAGAGGUGAAGGAGAAAGCAAAGAGUGGAAGACAAGAAGAAAAUAGCAGCGUUCAGGUGGCAAUUGGAAAUGAGAACCAGUGAAGCGGAGAGAAUACAAAGCGGCUAUUUCAUGGGUAGAAGAUCGCGAUGGGGAAGGUUCACUCAUGAGUAGGAGAAGCUGAGUGAGGAAAGGACAAUAGGAGGGAGUAAGCUAUUGGCUCAGAAAACACUGGCUCUGGCUGACAUUGUGAAGAUCAUAAAACCAACCUGAGGUAAGUAGGAUAGUUAGCAUUUGGGAGCUUAGGCUCUAGAGCCUGGCAGACUAGAUUUCUGGUCCUUUCUGCCACUUGCUAGCUAUGAGGUUGGGAAUUUAUUUAACCCCUCUGGGCCCAGUGAUGCAAAAUCUACGUGCUUACACCCAAGUACCUAGUAUAAGAUCUGCCGUAUCCUUGUCAUGCAAUAAAUAUUGGACAAUGUGUAUGUAAUCGUAUCUACCCUAUAUGGGCAUUUUUGUGCAGACAGAUUGCAAAAGGCCAGGUAGGACAUUUCAUGUAUUGCCUGGUACAUAUAAUAUAAUUAUGAGCAUACUUAUUACUGCACUUAUUUUUAAAAUAUGCAAGCAUUUGAUUUUCUGUAGCCAUUUGAUCUUACUACGUAAACGAUGUCCCUCCUGUUGCUACCACGCUGGGAACUGCUGUGAAUGCUGGGGCAUAUUUUGUGAGCUCCCAUCAUAGUGGCUGGCAUUAAACAUGCUCCGAGAUAGGUUAAGGAAGUGAGUCGCUUGCGGAAUCUUAAAGUGGGAGCUCACCUUACUGAACAUCUAGUCUAGCCUGUAGAUUUUAUAGGCACAGCCUAUAAAUCCUUUUGGGACCAAGUAGAAAUCGCUGUAGCAGCAUGGCAUUUUGUUAACGAGGAUGCUGUGGCCCAGGGAGGCUAGGUGGUUUGGGCUGGGCAACCCAGUGUGUGAUGACUAAACCAGAAGUAUAGCCCAGGUCACGCAGUUCCCGGGGUGGUGGCAACCAAGCCUUCCCUUCCAGGGACAAGGGUGGCUAGCCAGUUGUAGAGCCUGGGGGCCGCUGUGUAAGAUGUGACUUUCUCAUGUUGCAGUCUCCAGGGGCUUCAGUGUCUUUUCGGAGGAAGAGCUUACAACCUGAGGCCUGGAAUCUGAGGUUGGGGUUGUCACAAGGGGGUCGAGCCCAAAUUCUAGGGCUGUGGGUUCCGAGGUAGAAUUCUUGACAGUUCCAAGUAGGAUUCCGGACUCCACCUGAAUUUCUCAAACACCAGCCCGGGAUUUGAGAGCUGGAGAAGCCCUGAUGUAUCAGCAGUCACGAUAGGUUGUGGGAAAGGCACGUGAAAAGUGAUGGGAAUGAGAUGAAGGAGGUGUCGAGGAGCAAGAAUUCCCGUCCCCUUGAAGGUCCUUGUAGCUGGAUUAGGAAUCAGAGUGACACGAGACAGAAUAACAGGAGAAAACCAAAUUUUACAGGUGUGUAUAAUGGGACAUCCACAUAGACAUGGAAAUUCCAAAGACCAUCAGGCAGCAUGGAGUAGAUAUGUCAUCCUGAAACUAAGGGGAAGGGGUAAGAGUCUGGGACUCCAGAGGAAAAGAAUGUACUUCACGGGACCAUAAGAGGAACAGACGUUUGGUAAUUAGAUGUUUGCCCUGCCUUACAGAUGGGCCACUCCGAGAAAAACUGAUCUGUUAAUAACCCUUAUUCUGGGGAAGACCCCCAAUUUAGAUUCUUCUGUGUGGUUAAGGGUGGGAGAAAAGUUUCUCUUCAGCCCGCAGGGACUCAAUUGCCUUCAGCUCAAAAUAAUCCACAUGCUAACGUGGCACUUUCUGGGUUGGGGGGCUUUCCUGAACACCAUCGGAAUCAGGGCAUUUGUUGGGGGCAGGGAGUGGAAGUUCUGCUCCUUAGACAGGCCAUCCUUACUGUUUACGGCUGGUGUGCUGGUUAAUCCGAGGGGAUUUGCAUAGAUGCAGGGACCAAGGAAGAGAAGGUUUGGGGACCCUGGGGGACAGCAGAGCAAGAAGUGGGAAGGGUGUGUGAGGGCCUGCAUCCAAGAAGCUUCCAGUCUCAUGGCCCCUUCCAUCCUGAUUUGCUAUAACCCCUUUCCCUUGGGGCUUGAAUCCAGGGAACUCUUAGGGAAAGACCUGACACAUGACAAGUACUCAAUAGGUAUUUGAUGAAUGAAUGAAUGAAUCCAUGAAUGAAAAGAAUUUUAGAGCUAAAAGGGACUGUAAUGGGCCUCAAGUGAUGGCUAUAACCAACACCAUUCAAUUACUAAUUCCAAUAAAGCAACUCUCAAAGCACUAACAGAAGCUUGAAAACGGAGAAUUUAUAAUCACCAACAUGCUUGCUGUCAAAGUCAUGAUGGUGGCCUGCUUGGGACCUGUCCCCCUCUUCUGCAGCUGCCUCAGGGAGAUGAGAAGGCUUCGGUGUAGGAGCCCAGUGCAGCAGGGGGAACAUCUGUGACAAAGUCGGCCGUGUCUAGGUAAUUCUUCGGUUUGCACAAUGCAAUCUACAGCGGGGCCUUCUUUUGAUGAUGUUGGCGAUAAUGAUAUCAGAUUGUAUGGAGAAGGGCAGAGAAAAGCCGCCAUUAGUUCCAAGAGGGAGGCAUUGAGUGGCAGAGAGGGAAUCUCCUCCAGCCCUCCCUGGGACGGGGUCUCGCUGUCAGCUAGCAGCAAUAUAGUCUCCUUAAUAUGACAAAUCGGAGCUCCUGCCGUACUUUACUGCCUGCAUGUUAAUGAGCCGAGCCCGUGUAACAGAGCCAUUUGGUGGAGGGAGUUUACAAACAACUUGGUUUUGAGAUACUCAGAGAGAGAGGGAGAGAAGGAAGAUGAGGUUGCAUUGAGAGCCGUAGGUCUGACGGAGGAGGCAGCCUCCCUACAAGCCUUGGGACUCAAGGAGAGCCCCCUGGAAGAGUCUUUGCUCUUGGAGUGGCCACGCAAAGAGAGCUGGGGGAGACCUCUAAGACUCUGAGAUUGCAUUUCACUGAAGGACCCGAUUCAUUAAAAUGAUGUACAAAACACUCGUCAGGGGGCGCCCAGGUGGCUUAGUGGGUUGAGCGUCCAAAUU